AGAGCGAACGCUGGCGGCGUGCUUAACACAUGCAAGUCGAACGAGGUCUGUAGCAAUACAGAUACUCGUGGCGAACGGGUGCGUAACACGUGGGAAUCUGCCAAACAGUUUGGGCCAAAUCCUGAAUGAAUGAAAGCUAAAAAGCGCUGUUUGAUGAGCCCACGUAGUAUUAGGUAGUUGGUUAGGUAAAAGCUGACCAAGCCUACGAUGCUUAGCUGGUCUUUUCGGAUGAUCAGCCACACUGGGACUGAGACACGGCCCAGACUCCUACGGGAGGCAGCAGUGGGGAAUCUUGGACAAUGGGCGAAAGCCUGAUCCGGCAAUAUGGCGUGAGUGAAGAAGGGCAACGCAGCUUGUAAAGCUCUUCAUCGAGUGUGCGAUUGUGACAAGACUUGAAUAAGAACGCCCCGGCUAACGUCCGUGCCAGCAGCCGC
Molecule: ribosomal RNA, 434 nt
Filed under: uncultured bacterium
Lineage: Bacteria
Description: SSU rRNA
Rfam family: Bacterial small subunit ribosomal RNA
Source: RNAcentral